Molecule: transfer RNA, 77 nt
Filed under: Clostridia bacterium
Lineage: Bacteria; Bacillati; Bacillota; Clostridia
Description: tRNA-Asp
Rfam family: tRNA
About the family: Transfer RNA (tRNA) molecules are approximately 80 nucleotides in length. Their secondary structure includes four short double-helical elements and three loops (D, anti-codon, and T loops).
Source: RNAcentral
GGUAUCUUAGUUCAGUUGGUUAGAACGCUAGCCUGUCACGCUAGAGGUCAGGGGUUCAAGUCCCCUAGGUAUCGCCA